RNAcentral lists this long non-coding RNA (486 nucleotides) under Marmota monax (woodchuck). The record is from RNAcentral. Lineage: Eukaryota; Metazoa; Chordata; Mammalia; Rodentia; Sciuridae.
GUUCUUGAUUGUUUUUUUUUUUAAAAAGUAAGAAAGAAAGGCUUUAACAAAAGUGUUUUGUUCUGCAGAUAUUUCCUUCUGCAGUACUGGUGGCCACGACCUUGAGAGAGGUCCUUGGAGGCACGUGGUGGGCACCCAGCCUCUAUCUGGACACCAUGGGAGUCUUUGGCAGUCCUUCCCAUCCAGUCCCCUGCCUUGACGUACAACCCACAGCAAAGGUCCCAGAGUAGGUGGCCCGCUCCUAAACAUCUCAAGGAAGACUUCCCGCCGUCCCGCGGAGCCCGCCACCCACACCCGGGUUGCACAAGGUCCCUUGCGUGGUUACUGAAAGCUCUUUCUAAUUUUAACAAAGCUCCUAAAACCCGUUCUCAUCUGCGGAAUUCGCCUUUUGUGAGAACGGGAGCAGGGCUUUGAUUCUAAUUAGCAAACCACAAAUCCCGUCCGCAGCCUCCCUUGCAGGGUGAGUCUAACAGCACGAGGUCCCUC